RNAcentral lists this long non-coding RNA (311 nucleotides) under Musa acuminata (dwarf banana). Its description in RNAcentral is "long non-coding RNA (MACU_LNC006469)". The record is from RNAcentral. Lineage: Eukaryota; Viridiplantae; Streptophyta; Magnoliopsida; Zingiberales; Musaceae.
ACCCAACUCAUCAAAUUAAUAACCACAACAUAAAUUCAUAAGUGUGGGAGUCUAUACAGUCACAAAACUAACAUUUACCAUAAGUUCAUAUCGUUACACAAAUUAAACUUAACAUUCCAGAAUCCUAAACAUGAGAGGUCCUUUAAACUUAUACAACAUCCACAAGUUUAGAUUCAUCGUCAACAUUUCAUUAGAUGCAGAGUGUACUUAUAUAACAAAAACAUAUAUACUAAUAAAGAUCUGCCCAAAAUCUUUUAGCUUUCCACUGCCUCAGCCCGAUCUUAACAUUUAAGCAAGCGACAAGCUAUCCU